This 394-nucleotide ribosomal RNA is filed under the name uncultured bacterium. Its description in RNAcentral is "partial 16S ribosomal RNA". It matches the Rfam family "Bacterial small subunit ribosomal RNA", at positions 338 to 729 of the family's 1533-position model. The record is from RNAcentral.
CCUACGGGUGGCAGCAGUGAGGAAUAUUGGUCAAUGGACGUAAGUCUGAACCAGCCAAGUCGCGUGCAGGAUGAAGGCGCUAUGCGUUGUAAACUGCUUUUAUACGGGGGUAAUUUCAGACACGUGUAUCUGUUUGUAAGUACCGUAUGAAUAAGGAUCGGCUAACUCCGUGCCAGCAGCCGCGGUAAUACGGAGGAUCCGAGCGUUAUCCGGAUUUAUUGGGUUUAAAGGGAGCGUAGGCGGCUUGUUAAGUGAGAUGUGAAAUGGCGAGGCUCAACCGUGAAACUGCGUCUGAUACUGGCUGACUAGAGUGUAGUAGAGGUAGGCGGAAUUUGUGGUGUAGCGGUGAAAUGCUUAGAUAUCACGCAGAACACCGAUUGCGAAGGCAGCUUUC